This 497-nucleotide ribosomal RNA is filed under the name uncultured bacterium. RNAcentral's name for it is "partial 16S ribosomal RNA". It matches the Rfam family "Bacterial small subunit ribosomal RNA", at positions 29 to 507 of the family's 1533-position model. The record is from RNAcentral.
AAUGAACGCUGGCGGCAUGCCUAACACAUGCAAGUCGAGCGAACGGACGGGAAGUUGUCGUGCCUGAGGUUAGCGGCGGACGGGUGAUUCCCACGUGUAUAACCUACCUAUAAGACUGGGAUACCUACGCGGAACCGUAUCUAAUACCCGAUGAUAUAUUGAACCUCAUGGUUCACACGUGAGAGACGCUCUUUCUUACACUAAUAGAUGGAUCCGGGCUGCAUUAGCUAGUUGGUAAGGAGACGGCUUACCAAGGCUACGAUGCAUAGCCGACCUGAGAGGGUGAUCGGACAGACUGGAACUGAGACACGGUCCAGACUCCUGCGGGAGGCAGCAGUAGGGAAUCUUACGCAAUGGGCGAAAGCCUGAUGGAGCACAGCGGCGUGAGGGAUGAAGGUGUUAGGAUCGUAAAGCUAUGUAAGUCGGGAGGAAGAAAAGUGUAAGUAACCGUGAACAUAUUGACGGUACCUAAAGAGAAAGCCCCGGCUAACUACGUG